Molecule: long non-coding RNA, 253 nt
Filed under: Physcomitrium patens
Lineage: Eukaryota; Viridiplantae; Streptophyta; Bryopsida; Funariales; Funariaceae
Description: long non-coding RNA (PPAT_LNC011748)
Source: RNAcentral
UCAUAUCUCCUAAUCCGACCGUCCAAACAAAUUCAAAUUUUACAUGAAGUACUGAUGUAUUCUUAUUAACUUCUACAACAAAUUUCAACUGCAAAUUCAUUGCAGAUCUUGAAAUAUCUUGAAAAUCCUAACAGUUGCUUCAAACCCUUAUCUUUAUACAUCUGCAUGCAAUUUUCUUCAUAUCUCACAAAAUAUAAGCUCAAAUGCCACGAAAUUUGUAUGUAUAGCUUUUUAAUACAAAAUUUUACAUUCU